RNAcentral lists this ribosomal RNA (494 nucleotides) under uncultured bacterium. RNAcentral describes it as "partial 16S ribosomal RNA". It matches the Rfam family "Bacterial small subunit ribosomal RNA", at positions 28 to 507 of the family's 1533-position model. The record is from RNAcentral.
GACGAACGCUGGCGGCGUGCUUAACACAUGCAAGUCGAACGGUGAAGCGCCUUCCUUUUUGGUGGGUGUGGAUGAGUGGCGAACGGGUGAGUAACACGUGAGUAACCUGCCCCCUUCUUCUGGAUAACCGCAUGAAAGUGUGGCUAAUACGGGAUAUUCUGGGUCUGUCGCAUGAUGGGUCUGGGAAAGAUAUUGUUUCGGUGGGGGAUGGGCUCGCGGCCUAUCAGCUUGUUGGUGGGGUGAUGGCCUACCAAGGCGGUGACGGGUAGCCGGCCUGAGAGGGUCGACGGUCACACUGGGACUGAGACACGGCCCAGACUCCGACGGGAGGCAGCAGUGAGGAAUAUUGCACAAUGGGCGCAAGCCUGAUGCAGCGACGCCGCGUGAGGGAUGGAGGCCUUCGGGUUGUGAACCUCUUUCGCCAGUGAAGCAGGCCUGCCUCGUUUGUGGGUGGGUUGACGGUAGCUGGAUAAGAAGCGCCGGCUAACUACGUG